This 473-nucleotide ribosomal RNA is filed under the name Siro sonoma. RNAcentral describes it as "LSU rRNA". It matches the Rfam family "Eukaryotic large subunit ribosomal RNA", at positions 666 to 1106 of the family's 3401-position model. Lineage: Eukaryota; Metazoa; Arthropoda; Arachnida; Opiliones; Sironidae. The record is from RNAcentral.
CCAAGGAGUGUAACAUGUGCGCGAGUCAUUGUGUCUUGUUCAGGUCCAUAGGCCGAAUGAAAGUGAAGGCCGAUUCGAUCGGCUGCAUUGGGAUCCCGUCCAUUCGUGGGCGGGCGCUCCAACGGCCCGUCCCGAUCGCCGCGUCGAUGGGGCGGAGUGAGAGCGUACCCGUUGGGACCCGAAAGAUGGUGACCUAUGCCUGGGCAGGACGAAGCCAGAGGAAACUCUGGUGGAGGUCCGCAGCGAUUCUGACGUGCAAAUCGAUCGUCAGACCUGGGUAUAGGGGCGAAAGACUAAUCGAACCAUUUAGUAGCUGGUUCCCUCCGAAGUUUCCCUCAGGAUAGCUGGCGCUCGGAGGAGGCAUUCUCAUCCGGUAAAGCGAAUGAUUAGAGGCCUUGGGGCCGAAACGACCUCAACCUAUUCUCAAACUUUAAAUGGGUGAGAAGUCCGGCUUGCUCGACUGAAGCCCGGAC